This 775-nucleotide ribosomal RNA is filed under the name Bacillus sp. KSD-6. Its description in RNAcentral is "bacterial SSU rRNA". It matches the Rfam family "Bacterial small subunit ribosomal RNA", at positions 23 to 804 of the family's 1533-position model. Lineage: Bacteria; Bacillati; Bacillota; Bacilli; Caryophanales; Bacillaceae. The record is from RNAcentral.
UUUUUUUCGGACGCUGCCGACGUGCCCCUGCGUGGUCUCCUUGGUGAUAUGGUAGCUUGCUCCCUGUAGUUAGCGGCGGAUGGGUGAGUGUACGUGGGUAACCUGCCUGUAUCACUGGGAUAUGUCCGGGAAACCGGUGCUAAUACCGGAUGCUUGUUUGAACCUGAUGGUUCAAACAUAAAAGGUGGCUUCUGCUACCACUUACAGAUGGACCCGCGGCGCAUUAGCUAGUUGGUGAGGUAAUGGCUCACCAAGGCGACGAUGCGUAGCCGACCUGAGAGGGUGAUCGGCCACACUGGGACUGAGACACGGCCCAGACUCCUACGGGAGGCAGCAGUAGGGAAUCUUCCGCAAUGGACGAAAGUCUGACGGAGCAACGCCGCGUGAGUGAUGAAGGUUUUCGGAUCGUAAAGCUCUGUUGUUAGGGAAGAACAAGUACCGUUCGAAUAGGGCGGUACCUUGACGGUACCUAACCAGAAAGCCACGGCUAACUACGUGCCAGCAGCCGCGGUAAUACGUAGGUGGCAAGCGUUGUCCGGAAUUAUUGGGCGUAAAGGGCUCGCAGGCGGUUUCUUAAGUCUGAUGUGAAAGCCCCCGGCUCAACCGGGGAGGGUCAUUGGAAACUGGGGAACUUGAGUGCAAAAGAGGAGAGUGAAUUCCACGUGUAGCGGUGAAAUGCUAAGAUGUGAUUAACCCCUGUGCGGAGGUUACUCUCUGUCUUUCUGACCCUAGACCAAACUGGAACCACAGGAUUAAAACCGGUAAUCACCCCAUA